UACGGAGGAUCCGAGCGUUAUCCGAAAUUAUUGGGUUUAAAGGGUGCGUAGGCGGCCAUUUAAGUCAGCGGUGAAAUUUUGCAGCUUAACUGUAACAGUGCCGUUGAUACUGUUUGGCUAGGAUUUGGUUGUAGUGUGCGGAAUGUGUGGUGUAGCGGUGAAAUGCUUAGAGAUCACACAGAAUAUCGAUUGCGAAGGCAGCUCACAAAGCCAAGAUUGACGCUGAGGCACGAAAGUGUGGGGAUCAAACAGGAUUA
Molecule: ribosomal RNA, 257 nt
Filed under: uncultured prokaryote
Description: partial 16S ribosomal RNA
Rfam family: Bacterial small subunit ribosomal RNA
Source: RNAcentral